AAAAGUGACAGAAUUUUUGUGUCGUGUGCUCUUUUUCUAAGCUUUAAAAAGAAAGAAUCUAUUAAUAUUAUACUGAAUUAACAUGUGACAACAGACUUGUCAAAAUUUGUCCCAACAAGACUAAUAAAGGCUGUUUGUAAUAAGUUGGUUGCCGACUUGUUAACAACUUUUUACGUGCGAACGGUAUCAGACUUGUUGGAACAACUUGUUGCAAGUCUGUUCGUCUCAUCAACCUUGUUACAAGAUGAUAACAACUUGUUCCAGACUGCAGUGCGAACACAUCUUGUUGACAAGCUGAGAGAUUUUCACUGGUGUAUUAGAAAGAUAAACUGAUUUGGAAGACUGUAUCGGGCUAUAAUGAUAGGACUGCAAAAGUGUAAUUUAGAUUUCAUUGAUUAUUACAGAUUAUUUAGCAGUGACAUUUGAGGAGAUAUUUUAUCCUUUUUUUAUUCUUAGACGCUAACUUUAUAGAACAUAUCAUUGUUAAAGGCAGAUCUCAUGUUGUUUUAUAUUCACAGACUGAAUUAAAAUGUGGCGGGACCAAGAUAA
Non-coding RNA from Paramuricea clavata, 549 nucleotides. NCBI's taxonomy places the organism in Eukaryota, Metazoa, Cnidaria, Anthozoa, Malacalcyonacea, Plexauridae. The record is from the annotation of a GenBank genome assembly.